UGCUGCUCCUUGUUCCAGUCCCAUGACAAGCAGCAGCAGUAGCAUCAUGGUUGGGUUGGAGCUACAGUGGCCAGCCACCGGGACGACACUGAUAGCCAAAGAAAGCUCCUUCCCCACCGCUGACAGCCAAAACCACUCUUGUGCUCAUCAAGGUCCCUUUCACCUCUCUAACCUCUGUGUUAAGUCUGUCUGGUUCUAGGCCGAUUCAGGUUUUUUGUUUUGUUUUUGCUUCCACUCUGUUUGAUUUAAGCGUGGUGGUCAGAUCCUCUUCAGAUGUCCAGUUGAGACACCUACCCAUUUCUUCUCUUUUUAUCUCUUGAGAGGAGAGGAUAGGAUGCUAACUAGCGAAGUACUAUACUACUACUACAUUUCAAACCAUAAUAAGGUCCUUCGGUAAAAACAAAACAAGAUUUGCAGCGUCACAGUAGCAAAAUUCCAGCAUCCACUAGCCACACAAAAAAGUAUGUAUCCAGUGAUAAUAUAACGAGAGAGGAAUUCAAGGAUUAGUUUAUUAUUAACCUAUGUAGUGUAUGCACUGGUAGUUGAUGGAGUUUCAAGCAGCAAGCAUGGAGCACCUUCUUCUUUCUAUCAUGUCACUUACCUGAUAAUUUUGGUAAUUCUCUCCGUAAUGUCAUUCAUAUACCUGAUAAAGCCAAUUUCUUUGGGGCUCUCUGUCAUUCAUAUGUUCAGUGAUGCAAUCUGAAUUAUUAUGUAGAGGUUACUCCAGUCCUCACUAUUCUUCUAUUUGUCCCUGUUUAGUGUUUUACUUUUUUUUAUCAGCAGCACAAUAGAUAACCAUAUCUACAUUUGUCUCUAUUUUCUGUCAGGUUAGGCAACAGGAUGGCAGUCACAGGAGCCAUUGCAUUUUCUUUGUCGCAAUGGCAUUAGGUACAAAGGGUCUCGCCACCGCGCGCAGUCCACCUCUCCCCGCAGGCAUGCCGGCCACCUCCCCACCUGACGCACAUCUUUCCCAUGGGGCCAUGGAACACGGUGAGCAGCAGUGGUACGAACCACAAAAUACUACUAUGAGAUUAGUUAAAUUCAGUGUUCUGUUGUAACUUUAAAAUUGAAAACCAAGUUUCCCUGGACAAAUAUAGUUUUUUGUGAGCUUAUUAUUGACAAUUUAUAGUAAUAUGCUAUUAUGGGCUUUGCUCCACCAUGAUAAGGAGGAAAGAACUGCAGGCUAUAUCGGAGAUGGUUUGGCAUACUGGCGGUUUCGCUGAACUCGAGAAAGUAGCUUCACAACACAAUGUGUAGUUCAGUGUAGUUCACAACACAAAGCUAGCUCAACCACACAGGCAGAUUGAUUGAUCCCUAAUUCCUCUCCGUGGCCAUUCUUUUAUCGGUCUUUCUGAUAUCUAGAGUACUUUCAUUUAAGACCAGAACAUCAACUUGUUUUUUGUUCUUAAUUUUGUUGGCAUAAUGGUUUUAGUAGUUGUGAAGGGGAGCCUUGGCGCAGUGGUAAAGCUGCUGCCUUGUGACCAUGA
Molecule: long non-coding RNA, 1487 nt
Organism: Triticum dicoccoides
Lineage: Eukaryota; Viridiplantae; Streptophyta; Magnoliopsida; Poales; Poaceae
Exons: 3
Source: RefSeq, a predicted model, not a curated record